This 282-nucleotide ribosomal RNA is filed under the name Triticum aestivum (bread wheat). Its description in RNAcentral is "partial small subunit ribosomal RNA". The record is from RNAcentral. Lineage: Eukaryota; Viridiplantae; Streptophyta; Magnoliopsida; Poales; Poaceae.
AUGAGUUCCUGCGGCCAGCAACAGCGUCACCGACACAGCCGGAGGCCUUUCGUCACUGCCGUGGUCGCCGGCGAGCUCUCCGAGGCAUGGUCGUGCGCCUGCGGCCAAGCGCGAGACAUGGAGGCGGUAGUCUUGAUUCUGAAGGUGUUCAGAGGCUACCUAGCACGAGUUCCCUCUCCAUGCUUCUCCCAAACAAAGAUCAAACUGAAUUUUGCGAUAAACAUGCUGCUGCACAUACGUACAGAAAAAGGCUUUAGAAGCAUUCACUGUUUUUUGGUUUAA